AUCAAAAUAAGUAAUGAUCAUUAUAUUAGUUAAAAUAUAAUUGAUUAUAUAAUACAAUUGUUAUUCUAUCAUAUCAAAUGCUUUUGUGUUACCAAACAAAGUAAUAAAAUAUGCAAUAUAAUGGUAAUUACAUUAUAACUUUAUUACACCCUACUUAAACAUAGCCUUAAUGCUGAUACCAUAUCAUACAUCUUUAAGCGGUGGACAAAAGAGGCACAUAUCAUUCCAUGUCUUUAUCCUCUUCACUAGCAAUACUAACAGGUUGAUCACUAUCAUCAGCUUCCGCCAAAUCUUCAUCAGCAUUAGAAUUUUGAUCAUCCGCAUAAGCUUGGGAGCUUACUACUUGACCCAUCAAGUCUUUAUGUUUAAGAUUUCCCAUCCAAAAAGUACAUGCACUUGACUUUGUAUGAAGAAGAGCCUUCACAUGGAACAAAAAACGUUCUAUAGAUCGUUUUGUUGGAGGAAUUUUGCUAGUGAUAGCAAUUUGUUUCAAGCCCUUUGCUUCAGAGCAUAGUGUCUGUAUUGUUCUUGUGGCCUUUUGAAGCUCCUUCACCAAGUGGAUUAUAAUCUCAUUGUGUGUUUGAAAGUGGGCCUGUAAGAAGUCAAACACUUUAAGGAAUGAAUCAACAAACUUCCCACCAUAUUUGACAGCCAUGGCAUGCACAAUUACCUUGUCAUGAGUCCUGCACAUACUAACUAAUGAAACCACCACAUUCACAGACAUUUGUAUUUUGGCCAAGUGCUUUUCAACAUUUUCGAGCUGAACGCCAGCUCUGGGUUUCCUGAGAAUGGCAUCCUUAACCACGCUUUUAAGAAUAGCAAGGUUCUCUUCAUGCAGCACACGAUACCACAUCGCAAAUGUUUCAUUGCAGAGAGUCGAAAAACCAUGAUUAUCAUACUCAGUCGCUGUUCUACAUGACGAAACCUGAGGCAAAAUGGAGCAGGCCAGCUCAUCCAGCAAAUCAGACUUAGACUCACUAUUCUCCAUGUAAAUAUACAAUAUUUUUUGCAUGAUUUCUCCUUUGUUUUUCCAACCAUUCUCUAGGUUUACAUCAUCCCAGUUGUUCUUCAGAAGCUUCUGGGCUGAACUUCCAAGUAUGCUGCGCAAGGUUGGAAGCACCCUAUGAAUGGAUAUUGAGUGUGUGCUUUCACCAUUCCUCCCCAACUUAUCAAGGAAUGUCUGGACUGAGGUAACAAUUGAUUCUAGGGUAAAAAGAGACACUGAAGCCAACAUAAAGGACGAUAAACAUGCUGCAUUCAACACAUCUUCUAAAAAUGAAGCAACACCUAGAUAUAAAUAUUCAGUUGUCCCAGGUAAAGGCCUAGGUUGUAUGUCAGAGAAAACAUUCUCAGAUAUUUUGCUGGGCUGGAAGGCUUCAAGCAGAUCUGAGAGAACUGCUUUUCCCAUUUGCACUUCAGGAAGGUCUAACAUCUUACUAAAACAAUGAAGUACUUCUUUAGAUACCAAAACAGAAACAGAAGAUUUUGAAAAUGCAAGCUUGGUAAUCUCUGGGUUGCCCGCAGCUGAAGAUUGCACUUUCCAAUGUUCUUCACAAGUUCCAUCACCUUCUAAAAGAAUAGAAACUGCACAAUCAAAAUGCCUUCUGAGAAUUGGGAAGAGUGGUCUAAUUUUGGUCAAGAAUUCUUCCACAGUCAUUCUGCAGAAACCAGGAGCAGGAUUUGUGCAUCUGGAUGAGAAUUGCUUUCCAGGAGUGAAGUAGUCCAGCUUGUUGUGAAGAUCACGCAAAAGGUAUAGAUACGGGGGUAACUCAGCUGCAGGAUCAGAACAACAGGAGCCCUGCUUCUUUGAAAAUUCCAGAAGAGAAAAGCAUUGAAUCAGAAGAGGCCUAAAUUUAAAUCUCUGUGCAUUUAGAGCCUUGGUAGCUCCAGGAACCUCUAAAAUUUUCUGUUCAAUUGCAUCAGGUUCUUGAUCUGUAGAAUUGAGUAACUUCAAAGAUUGGCCAGAAGAAUCCUCGUGUAAGACCUGUUGGCUAGUUAUAGCUCUCCCUUUCCUCAACACAUCAAAUAUUGUUGGCUGCUGGAGUUUUCUGUUUGUACCUGAAAUUGAUGGAGUUGAGACUUUUUGAUGUUGUCUCUUGUUUGGAGAUGUGGUAUCGUGUGUUUUCUUAUGCUUAUUCUUAUUUUCCGCGUGCACCAUAUCAUAGGCAUUAUCUAAGAGUGAAGCUCCAGAAUGCUGCACAUGAAGAUGGACAUCUGGUAGAGACAUAGGAUGGCACUGAAUGGAAUUAUUUAAUAAGCUUUCCAGAAAUACUAGAUUCCUCAGUCGCUUCAAUAGUUUGGCAAUUAUAUCCUCCUUUGUAGCUUGGCUUAUGCAUUCAAAUCCUCGAGCAACUUGUGUACAGAAAGCAUUAAGCAAUUCUCUAAUCCAGUUGGUUGCAUAAUAAAGAGAAAGGCAAACAAUCUGUUUCUGCUUUGCUGUAAGCGACUUCCAGCCAGCUAUAGAGAAGUACUUAGAUGAGGGAAGGUGUAAAGGGCAGCCUAGUAAUGCAUCAAUUCCACCAAGAGAUCCCCGAUUUGUCAACCUCUCCACAACCGAAAGUAAAAGAAAGUACGCAGGGAGAAUUUGUAAAGUUGUAGACUGCAAGGAAGAGGAGGCCAAUGGAAAGAUAUUCAAACAAACAGGAGAUAUGUCACCAUCUAGAUUCAUCCAUAGUUCUCCUUCUAAACCGCCAUAUGCAUCAGUACCAUGCAAUUGGCCACCAUCAAGAUCAGAUAGAAACAUAGAUUCAAAAUCGUCAAUAUGUCUGGCAGUCCAUUCAAUAAUUGCUGGCUGAAGUCUUUUAUGUUCUAGCAUUACAGUCAGUUCAUCAUAAAAAAGGAUCAAUGGUAAGCAAAAAUGUUUGGAAGAAUCCAAAGAUGUUCUUAAGAGUUCCAAAGCCUCCUCACAGUUGGUUGUCUCGAAUGAUGAACCACUAACUUUACUUGCAUCUGCAAGACAAGAGACCACUUUUAGAGUUCCGAUUAAACCCAUCUUUUUGUACUUCAGAUCUGGAUGGCUGACCUGUUUCCGCAGUAUCAUGAAAAGUUCACUUCCAAAGGAAGACCCCAAACAUUCCACACUAGAUGGAGCCAACAGUGCCAGGUGACUGAAAAUUUCAUAAACCUUAUGCAGAUUUUCAAUGUUAAACCCCUCCAAGUAAUCCAAUAUACCAUUUAUAUGAGUAGAAAGUGGAAUUAAUUCUUGGGCAUAUUUGGAGGCCAUGAAAGCCAUGGUCUCCAAAGCAGAAGUCACUUCAAAGCUAACUCCAGAACCCACAUGAGUUACAAGUGCACUAAGAACUUCCUGUCUAAAGUAAGAAUCGCCAAACUCUUCAAACAAGCAUGCGUAAAUGUGAGUGCCAAACUCCCUUGCCUUCUGUUCUCUACAUGCCAACAAGUACUCGGACAAAGAAAGAAAUGAUGGAAAAUAAUCCUGUACAACUUCCUUGUUCCCAUGAAUACACUGGUCAAUCAUAACUUUCUGAAUACAGUUUUCAACAACUUUCUUCCUAAAAAUCUUCUCAAUGCUCUUUUGCAUUGACUUUCCUUUCAUGUAUAUCAACACAAGCAGCCACAAGUCUAUGAUCUUGUGAUCCUGAGGCUUCUCAAGGCUAAUCAGUAAUUUCAAAAUCUCUUGACAUAGCAUACUCUUAGAUAGAAGACUAGUUCUCAAGGCAUCAAGAGUAGAUGCCUCUGUAUUGGCCAUAAGUGAUUUUCCUUUGAGUUUUUUGUGCUGCAUUUCAUGAGAUAUUCCUAUAAACUUAAGCUGCUCACGAAUGUGUGAUAUUAUUCUUCGAACAUUUAGAGGUGUCGCUGAAAGCAGUAAGAAUCUAAGCAAAUGAGGCAUUUGUUCCCCAUCAAUUGUUCUAAUGUACGAUAUUGCUAUGGUAAUAACCUACAAAAUGAAAAACUAUUUUUGAGAAAGGCACAUAUGCUGGGCAACAAUUCUCCAGCUGCAUUGUUUCUCGUAUAAUUUUAAGGGCAACUUAAAGCGAAGCAAAAUUAACAAUUGGCGAUAUGAAGGAUCUGAGAAAAAAUAGAGCUUCAGUAAGUUGAAUUAUUAAACAUUUGAUUUUAUGAGGAGUGAUGUAAAAACAAAAGGAUAAUAGAAAACCUGUUCUUGCAAUAUGUCAUCCAAAUUAAGGUUUGAAAAACAGUCAAGCACAGGCAUGAUGAUAGAAGAGUCUUCUUGGAGCAUUUCUCCAAGGGAAUCAACAACAGCCUUAUUGCUUUGAUCACCAACAAUCUCCGGCAAGGAUCCAAUAACCUCUUUCUUCAAGUGUAAAGGGCAGAUAAUGAGAACUUGCAUCAAUUUUUCACAGAAGGCACAACAAUCAACUAUAAAAUCAAGCCACCGAAAAUGAUUAAUGAUAAGCCGUGCAACAUCAUCCUCAAGCGAACACUCUGGAUCAACAUCGAAAUAUUCAGGAAUUUUCUCGAGAAACAAUAUCUGGAGGUCCAAUUGGAUGACCGGGACCAGCAAAAGUUGUCGAAGUAAGCUUUCACUUCUGCCACUUUGAUUUGAAGGAACCAAAACCCUUCGAAGAUUUUUAGGGCAGUCAAUGAAAGAGGAGAAGCCAGCAAGGAAAUGGGAGCGAAGGUCACAGCCGUCACUGGAAGCCGAAAAUAAGCGGUCGAGAUGAGAGCGGAACUUGAGGGGAUCGGAAGGCAGGCAGGGUGGACCCGAGGGAUUUAUCAGCGUACAGCCCGCAUCUGCCAGAAUAGAUACCAUCUUAUCAAUUGCUACUGCUGGACUAUCCUCCAUAACGCCAUUGUUUUCUGAAAAUGAUGGUGCUCCGGUGGCGGUGGUUUUGGGGAUUUUGAGUUCAGGGAGAGGAGAGACAAAGGACGAAGAGGCAGGUCUCUUACGAGAAGGCAAUUGUUGGUGGAGGAAUACCAUUUUUGGCCGGUGAAAUUCCAGUUCACGAGCUUCUUUGGCGGUGUUUUCUGCUACUUCAAAGAGAAGAUGACUCGGAGAAAACAGGACUGAUAUGGCGCCAAAUUCCUGAUUAGG
RNAcentral lists this unclassified non-coding RNA (5014 nucleotides) under Hevea brasiliensis (rubber tree). Lineage: Eukaryota; Viridiplantae; Streptophyta; Magnoliopsida; Malpighiales; Euphorbiaceae. The record is from RNAcentral.